Sphaeramia orbicularis (orbiculate cardinalfish) is the source of this 353-nucleotide long non-coding RNA. RefSeq lists it as uncharacterized. The record is from RefSeq and is a predicted model, not a curated record. Lineage: Eukaryota; Metazoa; Chordata; Actinopteri; Kurtiformes; Apogonidae. The transcript is spliced from 3 exons.
CAAAAACAGUGGCAUACACCAUUCUUUGGACAUCUGGCAUGGCUCAAAGAAUUUGAGCAAAAUACUUGUUGUGGCAGGGCAGCAAAAGGGAUGCUCUGAACUUUUGACGUGGAGCAAAGAUGUCUGCAACCACUUCUGGUAUUGUUGUAAGAUGGCAACCUCCUAUGAAGACUUCAUGGACAUGUGGAUGGGACUCCUGCACCAUGUCACAAGAGAACGUGCUUGGGCCCUUGGUACCUGUCACCAUGGACCUUUGGAAGACAGCAGAGACAGACACUGGAUAAAACAGGGUUCUUUGGCACAUCAGAGGCUGAGAGAAAUAAUUCUUGAAACACGCUGGCUGAAGGACGUGC